UGAGGAACAUGACCUUCGGCGGGGGAUAGCCGGCCCAACGGCCGGGUAAUACCGCGUACGACCACAUGGGGACAUCCCUGAGUGGUGAAAGCAGCAAUGCGCCGAUGGAGUGCCUCGCGGCCUAUCAGCUAGUUGGUGAGGUAACGGCUCACCAAGGCAACGACGGGUAGCUGGUCUGAGAGGAUGGCCAGCCACAUUGGGACUGAGACACGGUCCAGACCUNUACGGGAGG
This 232-nucleotide ribosomal RNA is filed under the name uncultured bacterium. Its description in RNAcentral is "partial 16S ribosomal RNA". It matches the Rfam family "Bacterial small subunit ribosomal RNA", at positions 118 to 347 of the family's 1533-position model. The record is from RNAcentral.